This 218-nucleotide long non-coding RNA is filed under the name Elaeis guineensis (African oil palm). RNAcentral's name for it is "long non-coding RNA (EGUI_LNC064378)". The record is from RNAcentral. Lineage: Eukaryota; Viridiplantae; Streptophyta; Magnoliopsida; Arecales; Arecaceae.
GAUGCCAGUACGUCAACUUAGGGGUCUAGGAUGGAGCCAGGAUAUCCCCAAGGUGUUGGUAUGCCAACUCGAUGGAGGUCCAGACUAGAGUUAAGAUAUCUCUGAGGUGCUGUUACGUCGGGUUAGGGAUCCAGGCCAGAGCCAGGAUAUCCUUAAGGUGUUUAUACACUGACUCGAUGAAGGUCCAGGCUGGAGCUAGGAUAUCUCUAAGGUGCCAA